RNAcentral lists this ribosomal RNA (429 nucleotides) under Chloroflexota bacterium. Its description in RNAcentral is "Chloroflexi bacterium partial 16S ribosomal RNA". It matches the Rfam family "Bacterial small subunit ribosomal RNA", at positions 355 to 776 of the family's 1533-position model. Lineage: Bacteria; Bacillati; Chloroflexota. The record is from RNAcentral.
UGGGGAAUAUUGCACAAUGGGCGCAAGCCUGAUGCAGCCAUGCCGCGUGUGUGAAGAAGGCCUUCGGGUUGUAAAGCACUUUCAGCGGGGAGGAAGGCGAUAAGGUUAAUAACCUCAUCGAUUGACGUUACCCGCAGAAGAAGCACCGGCUAACUCCGUGCCAGCAGCCGCGGUAAUACGGAGGGUGCAAGCGUUAAUCGGAAUUACUGGGCGUAAAGCGCACGCAGGCGGUCUGUCAAGUCGGAUGUGAAAUCCCCGGGCUCAACCUGGGAACUGCAUUCGAAACUGGCAGGCUAGAGUCUUGUAGAGGGGGGUAGAAUUCCAGGUGUAGCGGUGAAAUGCGUAGAGAUCUGGAGGAAUACCGGUGGCGAAGGCGGCCCCCUGGACAAAGACUGACGCUCAGGUGCGAAAGCGUGGGGAGCAAACAGG